UACAGAGGAUGCAAGCGUUAUCCGGAAUGAUUGGGCGUAAAGCGUCUGUAGGUGGCUUUUUAAGUCCGCCGUCAAAUCCCACGGCUCAACCGUGGAACUGCUCGGUAUACUGCGUCGCUUGAGCCAGCUAGGGGCGACCGGAACAAACGGUGGAGCGGUGAAAUGCGUAGAUAUCGUUUGGAACGCCGAUGGUGAAAACAGGUCGCUGGGGCUGUGCUGACGCUGAGACACGAAAGCCAGGGGAGCGAACGGG
Molecule: ribosomal RNA, 253 nt
Filed under: uncultured bacterium
Lineage: Bacteria
Description: partial 16S ribosomal RNA
Rfam family: Bacterial small subunit ribosomal RNA
Source: RNAcentral